UCGAGCGGAACGAUGGUAGCUUGCUACCAGGCGUCGAGCGGCGGACGGGUGAGUAAUGCUUAGGAAUCUGCCCAGUAGUGGGGGAUAGCCCGGGGAAACCCGGAUUAAUACCGCAUACGCCCUUUUGGGGAAAGCAGGGGAUCUUCGGACCUUGCGCUAUUGGAUGAGCCUAAGUCGGAUUAGCUAGUUGGUGGGGUAAAGGCUCACCAAGGCGACGAUCCGUAGCUGGUCUGAGAGGAUGAUCAGCCACAUCGGGACUGAGACACGGCCCGAACUCCUACGGGAGGCAGCAGUGGGGAAUAUUGGACAAUGGGGGCAACCCUGAUCCAGCCAUGCCGCGUGUGUGAAGAAGGCUUUCGGGUUGUAAAGCACUUUCAGUGAGGAGGAAGGCCUUAAGAUUAAUACUCUUAAGGAUUGACGUCACUCACAGAAGAAGCACCGGCUAACUCCGUGCCAGCAGCCGCGGUAAUACGGAGGGUGCAAGCGUUAAUCGGAAUUACUGGGCGUAAAGCCCGCGUAGGUGGUUGACUACGCGAGAUGUCAAUGCCCCUCGCUUAAUCUGCGGAACGG
RNAcentral lists this ribosomal RNA (570 nucleotides) under Marinobacter sp. RNAcentral describes it as "bacterial SSU rRNA". It matches the Rfam family "Bacterial small subunit ribosomal RNA", at positions 62 to 623 of the family's 1533-position model. The record is from RNAcentral. Lineage: Bacteria; Pseudomonadati; Pseudomonadota; Gammaproteobacteria; Pseudomonadales; Marinobacteraceae.